UCAAAAUUCAGUGGGAGACACCGCCUCUCCCAGAGGUAAGAACCUGCUGACACCUUACUUCCACCAGAUGCAAUGGGUACCAUGGAGUUCGGAGCUGCUGGGAGUGUUCUCUUGAACUGCAGAUUCCCUCCUGCUAGCCCUGGGGCAGCUGUUCCAAAUGACAAUGAUUGCCUGGGUGCUCCUGCUACAGGCUGCCAACUCUGGGAGGUGGUUGGCACUGGGGGAUGCAAGAUUUCAUCCAUUUUGCUGACGUGCCCCGAUCAGUUCUCCAGUUUUCAGAUCUUUCAGAUGCUUUGACCUGGACAGUUUGGCUUCAUCUUGAGCACCUUUUAACUUCAAAGAUUUAAUCACGAUCCCGAGUCAGGUUGGACUUUCCAAGACUGGAAGUUGGACUGACAGAACCUAAGAGAAACAACUCUUUCCUCUGCCUAAGAAACUAGUAAUAUCAUGCCUGUUACUAACUCAGAUCAAGCUGGUGGUGUUUUAGUGUUUGCAUUUUCUAAAAUGGGCUGAGUAUCCCAGUCAGCCUAAAAAUGCAGAAGGGCUUUUCUGUAGCAUCAGAGUUACGUGUUUGUAACCUAUGCAAACUUUUAUGCAGAUUUCUCAAGGGUGAAAAAAUAGAAAUGAAAGAUAUAUUGAUAUUCUACUAGCUAAUGUGUCAGUUAAGCUCCCAGUGUGGUAUCAUAUUGUACAGCAUUCAUGUAUUCUACCUAGCAAGUUUUGAAAUGAAGACUUUGAUGACUGUGUUUAUAGUAUUCCAUGAAAACGGGGAUAUAUAGGUAAUGGGAUGCUAAAGUAAUCAUAAUUUCUGCUCCCUAGAGCUGGAGUUUGUGGAUGGGGGUUAAUGAUGUUUUGUUUUUUUUUUUGUUACUUUUUUUAACGCACUCUGCUUAAUUUCUUAAUUACCAUUACAGCCAAGGAAAGGCAGAAGUUUUCAAAAUCUUCCUGUUUGAUAACAACAAUGUUUUUUAACCAGGCCUUAUUAAUAAGAGACUAAUAACUGCUAAGAAGGGGGCAAGUGCUAACAAACUAUUGACUGAAAAAAUACUAAAAAAAUAAGAUAUAAGUUGCAGUUGAUUUCUCAGAUUUCAGGUGAACUAUGUAGGGAAAAGAUGAGUGUAGGGGAACACUGCGAACAUACUUUUAGUCUAAGAGUUUUGAAAGAUGAUGAUAGCAUGUUAUACUAAGAAAUGUCAUUGACAUGAGCCUGUAUAUUCAUCAGUGGGGACAAUUGCUGGAUUUCCUUCAAAGUUGCACUGUUGCUCUGAACAAAUGCUGAAAUUGAGGCAGUUUUUAGUUCUCACAAAUGUAGACUAUGACCUAUAGACCAAUGCCUAUUGAUGGAUGAAAUGUUCUUCAUGUUCUGGAAAUGAGACUAUUGCUGACAAUAUAUCUUUGAUGUUACUGACUGAAGUGUAUCAAAUAGUUCCUAUAAAAAACCUAAAUGGCAAUCCAUCCGUACUUGUCAGAGACACGGAACUCAGUUAGUCAACUAGACUGUCAGUGGUACUUCACAUCCCUACCUGAAACAGCAGAGUAGUUUUGGUUCAGCACACUUGGCAAUGGCAGAAUUUUCCAGUUAGCUGGAAUACAAUCAAGCCAACUCUUUUCCUGGGGAUUUUAACAUGCCAUAGCAGUAAUUCCUGAAAAUCACUAAUGCUGGAGAGUAACUGUGCGGACACUCAGGGUGUCUUCCCUGUUGUUGUUUUAUACCAUCAGCAAGCAAUUCCAUAUCAGAGCUCCAAUUCUGGUGUUGCUUUCUGUGCUCACUGUGCGAGGCUGGGGGCAUCUUAUGCUUGUCGAGAAAUGGAGGAUGAGCAGUACAUAUCCUUCCCAUCCCGCCUGUGGUUGAUCUUAGCUUAAAAGUAAGGUGAAACUCCAGAUCUGUAAGCUGUUAUGCGCUUAAAAAGCUUUCAUUUUUCAAUUACUUCAUCAGCUUUCUGCCUGAAUAGCAAGAAGAUUCAAACUCGUGUGGUGACUGUUCACAGGUUAAUGUGAAAUGAAGACAUACCGCCUUACCUCAAGGCAUUCAUACUUUGAAACUGGUAAAAGAGAAGUCUUGGGGUAUCUCGCACAAACAUAACAUGGUAAAUCAACAGCCCAGUUGCAGAUACUGCAUUUUCUGGCUUUUGGAUCCACUAUAUUCAUGUCUGCCUGUGCUGUUCUGCUGUCUCUAAAAUCAGUGCAGCUGGCCUUUUAGAGCACCCAGACUACCUCUUUUCCUUCCACUCAAUAGUCAGUGUUGCUCAGAUCAUGAGUAGAGCACAUUGUGCGCUUCCCUGUGAUUUUCACUGUAAUUUAUUUGUACUGAGGAUUUCAUUAGCAGCUCUAUCUCUAUCCUUGAGCAAAGCCAUUGUCAAUAGUUAGCAGUUGCGAGCAGUUACAGUACUGAACAUUACCCUGUAGCUAGGACACAGUUCAAAAGCCAGAAAGUUGAUUGACUGCUCCUCUCUGCAUAAAUACAUUUUUAUCCUUGUUUUCCACGGCUUCAGCAUUCAAGGAGUAGGAAUCAAGUGCUGCUUCUUUCUCUGCUGAACAGAAUAAGAGCUGCAAACUGAGUAUUAGCCUUCUGCACCUGUGAAGAUGUAGGUUCCUCUUGGUAACUGCUGUGCACAACAGCAGUGACCCAUAUAAACUCAAGCAGCUCUGUGGAUGGGGACCUUGUAUGCAGAAAGGAAGGAAAGGGGGUGGAGGGAGAAAUGAGGGCUCAUUUUCCCUCUGCAGCAGUCUUUCUGGGUGGCCUUGAACACAUCACUUAUAUCCUUUCCCUCUUUCCUGCCUCUCCUUUUCCUCCAUGUACUUCAGACUCCCACCUGUGAAAGGAGGAUGAUAAAAUGUCCUCUCACACUGUUCCUCCAGCUAAAUGCUCAUACAGACAACCACUUUGGCACAGCAGAUGCCCUUGGUACAGUGCUACAGCACUGAAGUCGAUGAGGUUGAACUUGGGAGUGAGUUUAAGGGUUAAGUAUUGAAUGUAAUAUAAGUAUUCAGAAGCCAGAUUUUACAGUAGGCUUCAAGAAUGAGAUUUUCAAAGUUUCUGAAUAUCCAUGUAUCAGAGAGAUUUACCAAAUUAAUCACUCUUAUGCCCUUAGGAAAUUCAAGUUUUAAAUCGACACUUAUGUUUCUGGGUCAGAGGCUUGACUCCCUGAAGCAGGGAAUACCUAGCAGUUUACUGUGAACAUGGUGGAGAUUAAUUUGGGUUCAACACUUCCACAGUCAUGUUUGAAGAGUUAGAGAUGGACUUGGGGACCUUACUGUAAAUUUUUACUGUAGAUUUUUUGGGGGGCGUAAGCAUGCAGGACUGUGUGUUUUUUCUUAAUUUGCUUUUUUCUUCUUUUCCUUAAACCACUGUUCCAUUUCAAAAUGUGACUUGUUCACAAGGACAAAGUAUGUGUACUAAGUGUCUUGAUUCAUCAGUAGAUUUUAGACUGCCAGAUGCAUGUGGUGGUCUUGGUUAUUUUCCAACCAAAAAGUCACAAAGACCUGACAGUGUGCGUAUAUAUUUUCACACACAGCUAUUUUGGCAUUUCAGCUAACUGGCUGUAUUUGCUUAGUAGAAAUGUGGACUGAGCCAUUGCAGGAGUGAGGGGGUGGUCCCCCCAGGUCAGAGUUGAGGUUACUGGUAGGGCAGGGUGGGGAAGUUUGGAUUGCAGCUGCCUACACAAAAUGUGACCUCAGAUUAAUCAGACAGCUUCAGUUUCCACUGCUGCUGUCUCAAAGCCUCUAUGAAAAAAAUUGCCAAAACAUAAUUUAAAAAAAAAAAGAUUUUUGGAGUUCAUACAAAACACUGGAGAAAAACUUAAAAUGAAGAACUAUCUUUUUAUCUGACUACUUACUACUUGCUGACAGAUUAAAGCAAAUGUUAGAGAUUAAGGGUAGCACUGCAAUAGCAUGCACAUUGUCAAUGUUAAACUGGUUAGGCAAGAUCAGGUACUGAUGUUAAUCAACUUGUCUCUGUUGAAGUUGUGUCAGUUUACACCACUUAAGAAUACAAUUUCUAAUGUAAUAAUUUACCACAUUGCUCCUGUUAAAUUAUAUACAUCUAUAAAUUUUCUCACUCUGAAAGAAGAGUUCUUUAUUAGAUAGUGACUUCAUAGGAAUAGGGUGUUUUUAUUAAAUACUAAGAAUUCAACAUUUAUUUUAACAGAAAUCCUUGUCUAUAUUUAGUCCCAUGUGAACCUGACAGUGAAGAACAUAUGCUGCUCUUGCCAUGUCCUGAUAUGGUAGAGUAGCAAAGUAUUUUGAAGAUGACAGUGAGUCUCCCUUCCCAGAAGUGAUCUUGCUGAUAACCUGUAGUCAAGGAUAGACUUUCAGAAAAGGACAAAUGUGGGUUGCUCUUCAGAAACU
Non-coding RNA from Meleagris gallopavo (turkey), 4347 nucleotides. Lineage: Eukaryota; Metazoa; Chordata; Aves; Galliformes; Phasianidae. The record is from RefSeq and is a predicted model, not a curated record.